GGUUUUACGAGGCGCGCAGAAGGAAGUCGGCAGGCGAGACUGCAGAGGGAGUAGUGCGAUCCUGCGCGCGGGGGAACUAGCUGGAGGGCAAGGCGGGAACACGCCACUGUGAGCAUGCAUUUCAGGUUGUUGGCGCAGCUCUGCUCCAUGAUGUCGAUCUGAAACCCAGAUUUUCCUUCUCUUGCCACUGUCAUCUCCUGCAUGGCCAAAGCUAGGUCACCAUCAUAGUCAUGUUUCAGCCUAUGGGAAGGGGGAAAGACAAUAUUCAAGCAUCUAU
This 277-nucleotide long non-coding RNA is filed under the name Homo sapiens (human). RNAcentral's name for it is "non-protein coding lnc-DBX2-4:1". Lineage: Eukaryota; Metazoa; Chordata; Mammalia; Primates; Hominidae. The record is from RNAcentral.